AGAGUUUGAUCAUGGCUCAGGACGAACGCUGGCGGCGUGCCUAACACAUGCAAGUCGAGCGGGGAGAAGAAUUCGUUUUUCUCUUUAGCGGCGGACGGGUGAGUAACACGUGGGUAACCUGCCUCAAAGAGGGGGAUAGCCUUCCGAAAGGAAGAUUAAUACCGCAUAAUAUCAGGAAGCUGCAUGGCAUUCUGAUCAAAGGAGCAAUCCGCUUUGAGAUGGACCCGCGGCGCAUUAGCUAGUUGGUGAGGUAACGGCCCACCAAGGCGACGAUGCGUAGCCGACCUGAGAGGGUGAUCGGCCACAUUGGAACUGAGACACGGUCCAGACUCCUACGGGAGGCAGCAGUGGGGAAUAUUGCACAAUGGGGGAAACCCUGAUGCAGCAACGCCGCGUGAGUGAUGAAGGCCUCCGGGUCGUAAAGCUCUUUGAUCAGGGACGAUAAUGACGGUACCUGAAAAACAAGCCACGGCUAACUACGUGCCAGCAGCCGCGGUAACACGUAGGGGGCAAGCGUUGUCCGGAAUUAUUGGGCGUAAAGGGCGCGUAGGCGGAUAUACUAGUCAGAUGUCAAAUCUUCGAGCCUAACUCGAAAACUGCAUUUGAAACGGUAUAUCUAGAGAGAGUGAGAGACCA
RNAcentral lists this ribosomal RNA (636 nucleotides) under bacterium enrichment culture clone F11 1.697-6. Its description in RNAcentral is "bacterial SSU rRNA". It matches the Rfam family "Bacterial small subunit ribosomal RNA", at positions 8 to 660 of the family's 1533-position model. The record is from RNAcentral.